UGUAACCCCCACUGUAACCCCUCACUCUAAACCCUCACUGUAACCCCUCACUGUAACCCCUCACUCUAAACCCUCACUGUAACCCCUCACUGUAACCCCUCACUCUAACCCUCACUGUAACCCCUCACUCUAAACCCCUCACUCUAAACCCUCACUGUAACCCCUCACUGUAACCCCUCACUGUAACCCUCACUGUAACCCCUCACUGUAACCCCUCACUGUACAUCAUUCCAAUCCCCAUCUCUGAUAACGAUGGCUCAAAUGAUCAGAUUUGAUAACCCAGUUCAAAGUGCACUGAAAUUAUUUUUUUAUUCCAACCAGCUCCAGUAGGAUGUAGUUUAAUUCCAACCAGCUCCAGUAGGAUGUAGUUUUAUUCCAACCAGCUCCAGUAGGUUGUAGUUUUAUUCCAACCAGCUCCAGUAGGUUGUAGUUUUAUUCCAACCAGCUCCUGUAGGUUGUAGUUUUAUUCCAACCAGUUCCAGUAGGUUGUAGUUUAAUUCCAACCAGCUCCAGUAGGUUGUAGUUUUAUUCCAACCAGCUCCAGUAGGAUGUAGUUUAAUUCCAACCAGUUCCAGUAGGUUGUAGUUUAAUUCCAACCAACUCCAGUAGGUUGUAGUUUAAUUCCAACCAGUUCCAGUAGGUUGUAGUUUAAUUCCAACCAUCUCCAGUAGGUUGUAGUUUUAUUUUACCUGCAAUAUUUUCCUAUCUGUUAUUGUAUAACAUUUACAGUCAUUCUAAUUGAUAUUUUAAGCAGAUCAAAUGAUGUUGGUAAUAAUGAGCCACUAUCCUUGUGGAAGUCAUAGACUUCAAAUGAAAUUGAAUACAGGCCCGCUCCUAAAAACACCAGGUUUGAAUCAUGUAUUGUAAAUGGUGCAUAUCAAAUGUUUACAAUAGUGUAUUCCUCUUCAUUGUUUUAUUUCAUACAUGCUGGCUUUAAGACACUGUUCCCUCACUAUAUGGUCAGAUGAACCAGACACAACACAUGCCACUGUCCCAAGUAUGUACUACAGCCACCAUUACUACCCUCAAUGAGGUGACUUGUAUACAUGCAAUGGUUUUUGUUCUGGACUUUGGUGUCUUUCGCCUAGACCGCGGAUCUGUUGAAUCUGCGCUACAAUCUUGUCCUGCGGUCAUAUUCCUCCAAACGUAAACACAAUAGACACUAUGUACCUGUGUAUGAUUCAACAUGUCCCGAUAUUUGUAUUUUAUUUUCAAAUUAAAAUCAUUAUAUUAUUAUCUGUUUCUUCUAAGAGUCAGUUGGAUUGGAAGGGAAUAUCAGUGAUGGAGGUAACCAAUAUGUGUAUUGUGUAAAAAUAGUGUAUGACCAUCAAUGUACUUGUCAUUCUACAUGUAACGUUACAACAACCUGCCUGCAUACACUAAGGAGACAUAUCUGUAUAUAUUAAUCAAUACUAUUUUUACUGCAUUUUUGUACAAAUAUUCAUGGUAGCCAUGUACAAGUAGU
Oncorhynchus tshawytscha (Chinook salmon) is the source of this 1465-nucleotide long non-coding RNA. NCBI's taxonomy places the organism in Eukaryota, Metazoa, Chordata, Actinopteri, Salmoniformes, Salmonidae. The record is from Ensembl.